UUGACGGGGACCCGCACAAGCGGUGGAUGAUGUGGAUUAAUUCGAUGCAACGCGAAAAACCUUACCUACCCUUGACAUGUCCAGAAGCCUGAAGAGAUUUGGGUGUGCCCGAAAGGGAACUGGAACACAGGUGCUGCAUGGCUGUCGUCAGCUCGUGUCGUGAGAUGUUGGGUUAAGUCCCGCAACGAGCGCAACCCUUGUCGUUAAUUGCCAUCAUUUAGUUGGGCACUUUAACGAGACUGCCGGUGACAAACCGGAGGAAGGUGGGGAUGACGUCAAGUCCUCAUGGCCCUUAUGGGUAGGGCUUCACACGUCAUACAAUGGUCGGUACAGAGGGUUGCCAAGCCGCGAGGUGGAGCCAAUCCCAGAAAGCCGAUCGUAGUCCGGAUCGCAGGCUGCAACUCGCCUGCGUGAAGUCGGAAUCGCUAGUAAUCGCGGAUCAGCAUGUCGCGGUGAAUACGUUCCCGGGUCUUGUACACACC
Molecule: ribosomal RNA, 482 nt
Filed under: uncultured bacterium
Lineage: Bacteria
Description: bacterial SSU rRNA
Rfam family: Bacterial small subunit ribosomal RNA
Source: RNAcentral